Molecule: ribosomal RNA, 551 nt
Filed under: uncultured fungus
Lineage: Eukaryota; Fungi
Description: eukaryotic LSU rRNA
Rfam family: 5.8S ribosomal RNA (bases 186-339)
Source: RNAcentral
AAGUCGUAACAAGGUCUCCGUUGGUGAACCAGCGGAGGGAUCAUUACUGAGUACUACACUCUCUACCCUUUGUGAACUAUUAUACCUGUUGCUUCGGCGGCGCCCGCAAGGGUGCCCGCCGGUCUCAUCAGAAUCUCUGUUUUCGAACCCGACGAUACUUCUGAGUGUUCUUAGCGAACUGUCAAAACUUUUAACAACGGAUCUCUUGGCUCCAGCAUCGAUGAAGAACGCAGCGAAACGCGAUAUGUAAUGUGAAUUGCAGAAUUCAGUGAAUCAUCGAAUCUUUGAGCGCACAUGGCGCCUUCCAGUAUCCUGGGAGGCAUGCCUGUCCGAGCGUCGUUUCAACCCUCGAGCCCCUGUGGCCCGGCGUUGGGGAUCUGCCACGGCAGGCCCCUAAAACCAGUGGCGGACCCGAAGGGCCCUCUCCUUUGCGCAGUAGCAUUCGCCUCGCAUCGGGAGUCCUCGGCGUCCUGCCUCUAAACCCCCCACAAGCCCGCUUCGGCGGCACCAAGGUUGACCUCGGAUCAGGUAGGAAUACCCGCUGAACUUAA